AAAGACAAGCAGCAUAUGGUGGUUCUCAUCUGUAAUUGGUAUGAACACUCUAUCAACUCUUCCAAUAUUUUCUUGGAGUGGCAUAUAGAAAGUAUGAUAUGUCAGCUUGUAUGAAGCACCUAGCAAAAACAUAUGCAAAAGUCAUGUGUUGGUGAUUAGUGAGCAUGUUGAUGAUAUAAAAUUGAUGUAUUAGAUGUGAUCUUAC
RNAcentral lists this long non-coding RNA (205 nucleotides) under Prunus persica (peach). RNAcentral's name for it is "long non-coding RNA (PPER_LNC006401)". Lineage: Eukaryota; Viridiplantae; Streptophyta; Magnoliopsida; Rosales; Rosaceae. The record is from RNAcentral.